AUGCCAUGGUGCGAACAUAUGACCAACAUCCCCUUAAAACGCUCCCAUGUUUCAUGCAAUGUUUCCAUUGGCCUCUGUUUUAAACUCCAAAUGUCAUCAAUCUAUUGU
Molecule: non-coding RNA, 108 nt
Organism: Nicotiana sylvestris (wood tobacco)
Lineage: Eukaryota; Viridiplantae; Streptophyta; Magnoliopsida; Solanales; Solanaceae
Source: Rfam